RNAcentral lists this ribosomal RNA (253 nucleotides) under uncultured bacterium. RNAcentral's name for it is "partial 16S ribosomal RNA". It matches the Rfam family "Bacterial small subunit ribosomal RNA", at positions 524 to 776 of the family's 1533-position model. The record is from RNAcentral.
UACGUAGGGUGCAAGCGUUGUCCGGAAUUAUUGGGCGUAAAGAGCUUGUAGGCGGUUUGUCGCGUCUGCUGUGAAAUCCGGAGGCUCAACCUCCGGCCUGCAGUGGGUACGGGCAGACUAGAGUGCGGUAGGGGAGAUUGGAAUUCCUGGUGUAGCGGUGGAAUGCGCAGAUAUCAGGAGGAACACCGGUGGCGAAGGCGGUGGGCUGGGCCGGAACUGACGCUGAGGAGCGAAAGCGUGGGGAGCGAACAGG